CUACGGGAUGCACCAGUGAGGAAUAUUGCACAAUGGGGGGAACCCUGAUGCAGCAACGCCGCGUGGAGGAUGACGCAUUUCGGUGUGUAAACCCCUUUUAUAUGUCAAGAAAAUGACGGUAGCUUAUGAAUAAGCACCGGCUAACUCCGUGCCAGCAGCCGCGGUAAUACGGAGGGUGCAAGCGUUACUCGGAAUCACUGGGCGUAAAGGACGCGUAGGCGGGUUGGAAAGUCAGGUGUGAAAUCCUACAGCUUAACUGUAGAACUGCACUUGAAACUUCUAAUCUAGAGUAUGGGAGGGGGAGAUGGAAUUAGUGGUGUAGGGGUAAAAUCCGUAGAUAUCACUAGGAAUACCUAAAGCGAAGGCGAUCUCCUGGAACAUUACUGACGCUAAGGCGUGAAAGCGUGGGGAGCAAACAGGAUUAGAUACCCUUGUAGUC
This 439-nucleotide ribosomal RNA is filed under the name uncultured bacterium. Its description in RNAcentral is "partial 16S ribosomal RNA". It matches the Rfam family "Bacterial small subunit ribosomal RNA", at positions 339 to 795 of the family's 1533-position model. The record is from RNAcentral.